CUAGUUGGUUUUAUUCUCAUUUUGUACCAAAUAUCCAACAAAGUGCAUAAAAACAAAACUAUACAAUAGAACCAAUUUUUUGCUUAAGGAAUCAUUGGAAGGGACAUUUUCUCAUGUAUUCAAUAUUUGAGGCCACAUUUCACUUCCCUUUUUUUAUAUGACACCAAAAGCAUGACUACAAACCAUUCAUUUUCAUCAACUUUUUAACCAUAAGCUGCCAUUGCUUAAUGCAAACAAAAUAUAAUAUCAAAGCAAACAGAAAAAUACAUCAACAUUAUUAUUACACAACAAAACAUACUUACUUUUCAAGCCAUACCUCUUUGCCCUUUGCACUAUACAAAUUCAUAAUGAAAAUAUUCCAAAACAAU
This 368-nucleotide long non-coding RNA is filed under the name Trifolium pratense (red clover). RNAcentral's name for it is "long non-coding RNA (TPRA_LNC010900)". The record is from RNAcentral. Lineage: Eukaryota; Viridiplantae; Streptophyta; Magnoliopsida; Fabales; Fabaceae.